This 201-nucleotide ribosomal RNA is filed under the name uncultured prokaryote. RNAcentral describes it as "partial 16S ribosomal RNA". It matches the Rfam family "Bacterial small subunit ribosomal RNA", at positions 524 to 724 of the family's 1533-position model. The record is from RNAcentral.
UACAGAGGGUGCGAGCGUUAAUCGGAAUUACUGGGCGUAAAGGGUGCGUAGGCGGUUAGAUAAGUUAGAUGUGAAAUCCCCGGGCUCAACCUGGGAACUGCGUUUGUGACUGUAUAACUAGAGUACGGUAGAGAGGGGUGGAAUUCCUGGUGUAGCAGUGAAAUGCGUAGAUAUCAGGAGGAACAUCGAUGGCGAAGGCAG